This 1292-nucleotide ribosomal RNA is filed under the name Streptomyces europaeiscabiei. Its description in RNAcentral is "bacterial LSU rRNA". It matches the Rfam family "Bacterial large subunit ribosomal RNA", at positions 1659 to 2925 of the family's 2925-position model. The record is from RNAcentral. Lineage: Bacteria; Bacillati; Actinomycetota; Actinomycetes; Kitasatosporales; Streptomycetaceae.
UCAGGUGGUCAGGUAGAGAAUACCGAGGCGUUCGGGUGAACUAUGGUUAAGGAACUCGGCAAAAUGCCCCCGUAACUUCGGGAGAAGGGGGGCCAUCACUGGUGAGGGAACUUGCUUCCUGAGCUGGGGGUGGCCGCAGAGACCAGCGAGAAGCGACUGUUUACUAAAAACACAGGUCCGUGCGAAGCCGUAAGGCGAUGUAUACGGACUGACGCCUGCCCGGUGCUGGAACGUUAAGGGGACCGGUUAGUCACAUUUCGGUGUGGCGAAGCUGAGAACUUAAGCGCCAGUAAACGGCGGUGGUAACUAUAACCAUCCUAAGGUAGCGAAAUUCCUUGUCGGGUAAGUUCCGACCUGCACGAAUGGCGUAACGACUUCUCGACUGUCUCAACCAUAGGCCCGGUGAAAUUGCACUACGAGUAAAGAUGCUCGUUUCGCGCAGCAGGACGGAAAGACCCCGGGACCUUUACUACAGUUUGAUAUUGGUGUUCGGUUCGGCUUGUGUAGGAUAGCUGGGAGACUUUGAAGCGGCCACGCCAGUGGUUGUGGAGUCGUCGUUGAAAUACCAGUCUGGUCGUGCUGGAUGUCUAACCUGGGUCCGUGAUCCGGAUCAGGGACAGUGUCUGAUGGGUAGUUUAACUGGGGCGGUUGCCUCCUAAAGAGUAACGGAGGCGCCCAAAGGUUCCCUCAGCCUGGUUGGCAAUCAGGUGUUGAGUGUAAGUGCACAAGGGAGCUUGACUGUGAGACCGACGGGUCGAGCAGGGACGAAAGUCGGGACUAGUGAUCCGGCGGUGGCUUGUGGAAGCGCCGUCGCUCAACGGAUAAAAGGUACCCCGGGGAUAACAGGCUGAUCUUCCCCAAGAGUCCAUAUCGACGGGAUGGUUUGGCACCUCGAUGUCGGCUCGUCGCAUCCUGGGGCUGGAGUCGGUCCCAAGGGUUGGGCUGUUCGCCCAUUAAAGCGGUACGCGAGCUGGGUUUAGAACGUCGUGAGACAGUUCGGUCCCUAUCCGCUGCGCGCGCAGGAAUAUUGAGAAGGGCUGUCCCUAGUACGAGAGGACCGGGACGGACGAACCUCUGGUGUGCCAGUUGUCCUGCCAAGGGCAUGGCUGGUUGGCUACGUUCGGGAGGGAUAACCGCUGAAAGCAUCUAAGCGGGAAGCCUGCUUCGAGAUGAGUAUUCCCACCCACUUGAUGGGGUAAGGCUCCCAGUAGACGACUGGGUUGAUAGGCCAGAUAUGGAAGCCUGGUAACGGGUGGAGUUGACUGGUACUAAUAGGCCGAGGGCUUGUCCUC